RNAcentral lists this transfer RNA (87 nucleotides) under Victivallales bacterium. RNAcentral describes it as "tRNA-Leu". It matches the Rfam family "tRNA". Rfam says of the family: Transfer RNA (tRNA) molecules are approximately 80 nucleotides in length. Their secondary structure includes four short double-helical elements and three loops (D, anti-codon, and T loops). Further hydrogen bonds mediate the characteristic L-shaped molecular structure. tRNAs have two regions of fundamental functional importance: the anti-codon, which is responsible for specific mRNA codon recognition, and the 3' end, to which the tRNAs corresponding amino acid is attached (by aminoacyl-tRNA synthetases). tRNAs cope with the degeneracy of the genetic code in two manners: having more than one tRNA (with a specific anti-codon) for a particular amino acid; and 'wobble' base-pairing, i.e. permitting non-standard base-pairing at the 3rd anti-codon position. Lineage: Bacteria; Pseudomonadati; Lentisphaerota; Lentisphaeria; Victivallales. The record is from RNAcentral.
GUCCGGGUGGCGGAAUUGGCAGACGCGUUAGGUUGAGGGCCUAAUGGGGUAACUCCCGUGCGGGUUCAAAUCCCGCCCCGGAUACCA